GCCUGGUUAGCUCAAUCGGUAGAGCGUGAGACUCUUACCGACUAAAUACCGGUAUCUCAAGGCUGCGGGUUCGACCCCCGCAUCGGGCU
This is a non-coding RNA of Truncatella angustata, 89 nucleotides long. NCBI's taxonomy places the organism in Eukaryota, Fungi, Ascomycota, Sordariomycetes, Amphisphaeriales, Sporocadaceae. The record is from the annotation of a RefSeq genome assembly.